UCCAGCUUGAUCUCCAGCUCUCUGGUACUAGAUAAAGGGAAAACGCCACAAUUCUUUAAGAGAUUCCGGAAAGAAUUUGCACAUUGGACGGAUGUAAAGGAAAAGCUGGAGAAAGAACUGUCUGACCAGAUCAAGAUCAACUCAGAAAAAGGUUUGAGAUGACAUGAGAUGCGGUUACCCCAUGUGACCUGGGUAAUUCGGCGAUCGCAUCCCUUGCUUAUUGCAAUAACCCUGUAUACAGGGAUCCCAAUACAGGGAAUACACCAGGCCAUCCUGUGUCCUCGAAGAUGGCGAGGCCAGGGUGGCCUUCGAGCACAGCACAACGAGCGCUUGCGUUCGGAGGAUCCUGUGCCAGACAACUGGAGGGAUCUCUGUCUGUAACAGAUGCACUGUUUAAUGUUUAAAGUGUCUUUCUGCUUUUUAUUGUGUGUGUGUGUGUAUAUAGUUCUUAACUUGUUAAAGCUUCAAUUGAGUUCAUUUAUAUAUUUCUUUGUUGUUUCUGUAUUAAUUGUGUAUAUAGUUUUUACUUUGCUUUAUUGUAAUUUUAAUAAAAUACAGUUUGCUUUGAA
This is a long non-coding RNA of Pimephales promelas (fathead minnow), 569 nucleotides long. RefSeq lists it as uncharacterized. NCBI's taxonomy places the organism in Eukaryota, Metazoa, Chordata, Actinopteri, Cypriniformes, Leuciscidae. The record is from RefSeq and is a predicted model, not a curated record.